Molecule: long non-coding RNA, 1366 nt
Filed under: Lonchura striata (white-rumped munia)
Lineage: Eukaryota; Metazoa; Chordata; Aves; Passeriformes; Estrildidae
Description: domestica (Bengalese finch) lncRNA (ENSLSDG00000004039.1)
Source: RNAcentral
UGAGGAGAAACAGCCCUGAGGAGGUUCUGAGGGGAUCUAGGAGGGUUCUGAGGAGGUCCUGAGAGGUUUUGAGGGGGAUCUGUGAGGGGAAACAGCCCUGAGGAGGUUCUGAGGGGGUCUGUGAGGGGAAACAUCCACUGAGGGGAUCUAGAAGGGUUCUGAGGAGAUCCUGAGAGGUUUUGAGUGGGUCUCUGAGGAGAAAUCCCCACCAAGGUGGUUGUGAGGGGAAAUCUCCACCGAGGGGGAUCUAGAAGGGUUCUGAGGAGGUUCUGAGAAGUUCUGAGGAGUUUGUGAGGGCAAACAGCCCUGAGGGGGCUCUGAGGGGAUCUAGGAGGGUUCUGAGGAGGUCCUGAGAGGUUUUGAGGGGAUCUGUGAGGAGAAACAGCCCUGAGGAGGUUCUGAGGGGAUCUAGGAGGGUUCUGAGGAGGUCCUGAGAGGUUUUGAGGGGGGUCUCUGAGGGGAAACAUCCACUGAGGGGAUCUAGGAGGGUUCUGAGGAGGUCCUGAGAGGUUUUGAGGGGGUCUGUGAGGGGAAACAGCCCUGAGGAGGUUUCUGAGGGGAUCCGGACAGGUUCUGUGUGGUCACUGCCAUCCCCUUUCACUUUUCGUGUCCCCUCAGAACUCCCCCUUUUUUCCAGGUGCCACCACUGCCCGUCACCCUUCUCCAGCUGCCACCACUGACCGUCACUCUCCUCCAGCUGCCACCACUGCCCGUGACCCUCUCCAGCUGCCACCACUGACCGUCACUCUUCUCCAGCUGCCACCACUGACCGUCACUCUUCUCCAGCUGCCACCACUGCCCGUCACUCUUCUCCAGCUGCCACCACUGACCGUCACCCCUCUCCAGGUGCCACCACUGACCGCCACCCUCUCCAGCUGCCACCACUGACCAUCACCUUCUCCAGCUGCCACCACUGACCGUCACCCUCUCCAGCUGCCACCACUGACCAUCACCCUCUCCAGCUGCCACCACUGACCGUCACCCUCUCCAGCUGCCACCACUGACCGUCACUCUUCUCCAGCUGCCACCACUGACCGCCACCCCUCUCCAGCUGCCACCACUGGACCGUGACCCUCUCCAGGUGCCACCAGCCCCGUGUCCCUCACCGUGGAGUCCCUGCGCGCUCUCUCGCAGCUGCACUCCCCGCAGGGCGGUGGAGUUACCGGCGCCCACCACGGCCACCGGCGGGGCCAGCCCGGGGAGGCGGCGGGCCGCACGUGGCGCCGCUGGCCGGGCUGGGAGGAGGAGGAGGAGUGCCUGGACUUCUACGGCAUGCUGUCCCUGCACCGGCUCUUCGAGGUGCUGGCCGCGCAGCUGACGCCCAGCGACGUGGCCGUGCUGUCCUUCCUGCUGGACGAGGCGCUGG